UUAGGGAAGAGAGAAGUGGUAAGAAGGAACAGUUUAUCCAGGACCAACUUUGACAUGAAGCAAUAGAGUCUUUUGUGAAUGUACACAAUGUACACUGUAAGUUUCUGUACAUCAGUACAGCAACAAGCAGCAUGUGUUUGGUUGAUCCAGCAUGCUGCUCCACAGAGCUGACAGACUCCAACCAUGCUGCAU
This is a long non-coding RNA of Etheostoma cragini (Arkansas darter), 192 nucleotides long. RefSeq lists it as uncharacterized. Lineage: Eukaryota; Metazoa; Chordata; Actinopteri; Perciformes; Percidae. The transcript is spliced from 3 exons. The record is from RefSeq and is a predicted model, not a curated record.